RNAcentral lists this ribosomal RNA (561 nucleotides) under Collariella quadrangulata. RNAcentral describes it as "eukaryotic LSU rRNA". It matches the Rfam family "Eukaryotic large subunit ribosomal RNA", at positions 38 to 625 of the family's 3401-position model. Lineage: Eukaryota; Fungi; Ascomycota; Sordariomycetes; Sordariales; Chaetomiaceae. The record is from RNAcentral.
GCAUAUCAAUAAGCGGAGGAAAAGAAACCAACAGGGAUUGCCCUAGUAACGGCGAGUGAAGCGGCAACAGCUCAAAUUUGAAAUCUGGCUUCGGCCCGAGUUGUAAUUUGUAGAGGAAGCUUUAGGCGCGGCACCUUCUGAGUCCCCUGGAACGGGGCGCCAUAGAGGGUGAGAGCCCCGUAUAGUUGGAUGCCUAGCCUGUGUAAAGCUCCUUCGACGAGUCGAGUAGUUUGGGAAUGCUGCUCAAAAUGGGAGGUAAAUUUCUUCUAAAGCUAAAUACCGGCCAGAGACCGAUAGCGCACAAGUAGAGUGAUCGAAAGAUGAAAAGCACUUUGAAAAGAGGGUUAAAUAGCACGUGAAAUUGUUGAAAGGGAAGCGCUUGUGACCAGACUUGCGCCGGGCGGAUCAUCCGGUGUUCUCACCGGUGCACUCCGCCCGGCUCAGGCCAGCAUCGGUUCUCGCGGGGGGAUAAAGGUCCUGGGAACGUAGCUCCUCCGGGAGUGUUAUAGCCCAGGGCGUAAUGCCCUCGCGGGGACCGAGGUUCGCGCAUCUGCAAGGAUG